CCUACAGGUGGCUGCAGUGGGGAAUAUUGGACAAUGGGGGGAACCCUGAUCCAGCCAUGCCGCGUGUGUGAAGAAGGCCCUCGGGUUGUAAAGCACUUUCAGUGAGGAAGAACGCCUGGUGGUUAAUACCCAUCAGGAAAGACAUCACUCACAGAAGAAGCACCGGCUAACUCCGUGCCAGCAGCCGCGGUAAUACGGAGGGUGCGAGCGUUAAUCGGAAUUACUGGGCGUAAAGCGCGCGUAGGUGGCUUGAUAAGCCGGUUGUGAAAGCCCCGGGCUCAACCUGGGAACGGCAUCCGGAACUGUCAAGCUAGAGUGCAGGAGAGGAAGGUAGAAUUCCCGGUGUAGCGGUGAAAUGCGUAGAGAUCGGGAGGAAUACCAGUGGCGAAGGCGGCCUUCUGGACUGACACUGACACUGAGGUGCGAAAGCGUGGGUAGCAAACAGGAUUAGAUACCGAGUAGUC
Molecule: ribosomal RNA, 464 nt
Filed under: Vreelandella stevensii
Lineage: Bacteria; Pseudomonadati; Pseudomonadota; Gammaproteobacteria; Oceanospirillales; Halomonadaceae
Description: partial 16S ribosomal RNA
Rfam family: Bacterial small subunit ribosomal RNA
Source: RNAcentral